GAUGAAGAACGUAGUGAACGUGCGAAACGUAAUGUGAAUUGCAGAAUUCAGUGAAUCAUCGAAUCUUUGAACGCAUCUUGCGCUCCUUGGUAUUCCGAGGAGCAUGCCUGUUUGAGUGUCGUGAAUACUCUCAACUUCAACCCUUUUUUCGGAAAGGGAGGAAGGUUGGACUUGGGUGUUUGUUGAAGUGCGAGCUUCGACUCAUCCUAAAUGCAUUAGCGAUCUGCCUCGAUCACACACAAUGUGAUAAUUAAAACUAAAGCAUUGUUUAAUGAUCAAGUCGAGACUGCUUCUAACUGUCGCAAGACAAUAACGUGCAUACAUUUGUGCAUGUCAUUUGACCUCAAAUCAGGUAGGACUACCCGCUGAACUUAAGCAUAUCAAUAGCGGAGGA
Molecule: unclassified non-coding RNA, 394 nt
Filed under: soil metagenome
Description: partial contains 5.8S ribosomal RNA, internal transcribed spacer 2, and large subunit ribosomal RNA
Rfam family: 5.8S ribosomal RNA (bases 1-121)
Source: RNAcentral